RNAcentral lists this ribosomal RNA (400 nucleotides) under uncultured bacterium. RNAcentral's name for it is "bacterial SSU rRNA". It matches the Rfam family "Bacterial small subunit ribosomal RNA", at positions 355 to 746 of the family's 1533-position model. The record is from RNAcentral.
UAGGGAAUAUUGCACAAUGGGGGAAACCCUGAUGCAGCAACGCCGCGUGAGUGAAGAAGGCCCUUGGGUUGUAAAGCUCUUUAGCGAGAGAAGAAGGUUUGUGGAGUGAAUAAUUCCAUAGGCUGACGGUAUCUCGAGAAUAAGCACCGGCUAAUUUCGUGCCAGCAGCCGCGGUAAUACGAAAGGUGCAAGCGUUACUCGGAAUCACUGGGCGUAAAGCGCACGUAGGCGGACCAGUAGGUCAGUUGUGAAAUACCCGGGCUCAACCCGGGAACUGCAGCUGAAACCGUUGGUCUUGAAUACCUGAGAGGGUGGGGGAAUACCUGGUGGAGAAGUGAAAUUCGUAGAGAUCAGGUGGAACACCGGAGGCGAAGGCGCCUGCCUGGCAGUGUAUUGACGC